AUUCCUUCUUAUCCUGCACUCAGUUUGUUGAUUGGCUGUGGAGCCUGGAAAUGGAGGAUAAAUGAUAUUGAAGGAGUGCUAUUACUUGACGUCUUCUGAGGAUGUGGAGAUAGUGUGAAUUUGAACAAUU
This 130-nucleotide small nucleolar RNA is filed under the name Caenorhabditis remanei. RNAcentral describes it as "Caenorhabditis snoRNA ceN42". It matches the Rfam family "Caenorhabditis snoRNA ceN42". Lineage: Eukaryota; Metazoa; Nematoda; Chromadorea; Rhabditida; Rhabditidae. The record is from Rfam by way of RNAcentral.